CGCCGGCCGGCCGGGGUGGUGCGGCUCCGGAGUCGGCUCCCGGUGUCGGUGCCGGCGUCGGUGCUGGUUCCGGUUCCGGUCUCGGGGAGGGCGG
Molecule: transfer RNA, 94 nt
Filed under: Streptomyces vinaceusdrappus
Lineage: Bacteria; Bacillati; Actinomycetota; Actinomycetes; Kitasatosporales; Streptomycetaceae
Description: tRNA-Pro
Source: RNAcentral